This 301-nucleotide ribosomal RNA is filed under the name uncultured bacterium. RNAcentral describes it as "partial 16S ribosomal RNA". It matches the Rfam family "Bacterial small subunit ribosomal RNA", at positions 509 to 807 of the family's 1533-position model. The record is from RNAcentral.
CAGUCGCCGCGGGAAUACGUAGGGUGCAAGCGUUAAUCGGAAUUACUGGGCGUAAAGCGUGCGCAGGCGGUUAUAUAAGACAGAUGUGAAAUCCCCGGGCUCAACCUGGGAACUGCAUUUGUGACUGUAUAGCUAGAGUACGGCAGAGGGGGAUGGAAUUCCGCGUGUAGCAGUGAAAUGCGUAGAUAUGCGGAGGAACACCGAUGGCGAAGGCAAUCCCCUGGGCCUGUACUGACGCUCAUGCACGAAAGCGUGGGGAGCAAUCAGGAUUAGAUACCCCCGUAGUCCCUGUCUCUUAUAC